This 279-nucleotide ribosomal RNA is filed under the name uncultured bacterium. RNAcentral's name for it is "partial 16S ribosomal RNA". It matches the Rfam family "Bacterial small subunit ribosomal RNA", at positions 506 to 784 of the family's 1533-position model. The record is from RNAcentral.
UGCCAGCAGCCGCGGUAAUACGGAGGGUGCAAGCGUUGUUCGGAAUUAUUGGGCGUAAAGCGGGUGCAGGCGGCCGGGCAAGUCGGAUGUGAAAUCCCUGGGCUCAACCCAGGAACUGCAUUCGAAACUGCUCGGCUAGAGUCUCGGAGAGGGUGGCGGAAUUCCCGGUGUAGAGGUGAAAUUCGUAGAUAUCGGGAGGAACACCAGUGGCGAAGGCGGCCACCUGGACGAUGACUGACGCUCAGACCCGAAAGCGUGGGGAGCAAACAGGAUUAGAUA